UGGGGUGUAGCUCAGUGUUAGAGUGCAUGCUUAGCAUACAUGAGGUCCUGGGUUCAGUUCUUAGCACCAAAA
RNAcentral lists this transfer RNA (72 nucleotides) under Marmota marmota marmota (Alpine marmot). It matches the Rfam family "tRNA". From Rfam's summary of the family: Transfer RNA (tRNA) molecules are approximately 80 nucleotides in length. Their secondary structure includes four short double-helical elements and three loops (D, anti-codon, and T loops). Lineage: Eukaryota; Metazoa; Chordata; Mammalia; Rodentia; Sciuridae. The record is from Rfam by way of RNAcentral. RNAcentral also lists the same sequence under 2 other names.